This 253-nucleotide ribosomal RNA is filed under the name uncultured bacterium. RNAcentral's name for it is "partial 16S ribosomal RNA". It matches the Rfam family "Bacterial small subunit ribosomal RNA", at positions 524 to 776 of the family's 1533-position model. RNAcentral also lists the same sequence under 1 other name. The record is from RNAcentral.
UACGGAGGGGGCUAGCGUUGUUCGGAAUUACUGGGCGUAAAGCGCGCGUAGGCGGCUUUGUAAGUUAGAGGUGAAAGCCCGGAGCUCAACUCCGGAAUUGCCUUUAAGACUGCAUCGCUAGAAUCAUGGAGAGGUUAGUGGAAUUCCGAGUGUAGAGGUGAAAUUCGUAGAUAUUCGGAAGAACACCAGUGGCGAAGGCGACUAACUGGACAUGUAUUGACGCUGAGGUGCGAAAGCGUGGGGAGCAAACAGG